UAGGGAAUCUUCGGCAAUGGACGGAAGUCUGACCGAGCAACGCCGCGUGAGUGAAGAAGGUUUUCGGAUCGUAAAGCUCUGUUGUAAGAGAAGAACGAGUGUGAGAGUGGAAAGUUCACACUGUGACGGUAACUUACCAGAAAGGGACGGCUAACUACGUGCCAGCAGCCGCAGUAAUACGUAGGUCCCGAGCGUUAUCCGGAUUUAUUGGGCGUAAAGCGAGCGCAGGCGGUUAGAUAAGUCUGAAGUUAAAGGCUGUGGCUUAACCAUAGUACGCUUUGGAAACUGUUUAACUUGAGUGCAGAAGGGGAGAGUGGAAUUCCAUGUGUAGCGGUGAAAUGCGUAGAUAUAUGGAGGAACACCGGUGGCGAAAGCGGCUCUCUGGUCUGUAACUGACGCUGAGGCUCGAAAGCGUGGGGAGCAAACAGGAUUAGAUACCCUGGUAGUCCACGCCGUAAACGAUGAGUGCUAGGUGUUGGGUCCUUUCCGGGACUCAGUGCCGCAGCUAACGCAUUAAGCACUCCGCCUGGGGAGUACGACCGCAAGGUUG
Molecule: ribosomal RNA, 550 nt
Filed under: uncultured bacterium
Lineage: Bacteria
Description: bacterial SSU rRNA
Rfam family: Bacterial small subunit ribosomal RNA
Source: RNAcentral